AGUGAACGCUGGCGGUAGGCCUAACACAUGCAAGUCGAACGGCAGCACAGUAAGAGCUUGCUCUUACGGGUGGCGAGUGGCGGACGGGUGAGGAAUACAUCGGAAUCUACUUUUUCGUGGGGGAUAACGUAGGGAAACUUACGCUAAUACCGCAUACGACCUACGGGUGAAAGCAGGGGUUCUUCGGACCUUGCGCGAUUGAAUGAGCCGAUGUCGGAUUAGCUAGUUGGCGGGGUAAAGGCCCACCAAGGCGACGAUCCGUAGCUGGUCUGAGAGGACGAUCAGCCACACUGGAACUGAGACACGGUCCAGACUCCUACGGGAGGCAGCAGUGGGGAAUAUUGGACAAUGGGCGCAAGCCUGAUCCAGCCAUACCGCGUGGGUGAAGAAGGCCUUCGGGUUGUAAAGCCCUUUUGUUGGGAAAGAAAAGCAGCAGGUUAAUACCCCGCUGUUCUGACGGUACCCAAAGAAUAAGCACCGGCUAACUUCGUG
RNAcentral lists this ribosomal RNA (492 nucleotides) under uncultured bacterium. Its description in RNAcentral is "partial 16S ribosomal RNA". It matches the Rfam family "Bacterial small subunit ribosomal RNA", at positions 29 to 507 of the family's 1533-position model. The record is from RNAcentral.